RNAcentral lists this long non-coding RNA (328 nucleotides) under Brassica napus (rape). Its description in RNAcentral is "long non-coding RNA (BNAP_LNC023314)". The record is from RNAcentral. Lineage: Eukaryota; Viridiplantae; Streptophyta; Magnoliopsida; Brassicales; Brassicaceae.
AUAACCAUUAGGUAUGUUAUUUGAUUUUUUUGAAAGUUCAAGUAUGUUUUAGCACAACUAUAUAAGUCGGAUAUGAAUUGAACAUAUUGCAAUCUAUUGGGUACGAAGAAAUGGCCGUUUUCCCGUCAAUUUACCAACAUUAAAUCUUUGAACCGAACCUUAGCUGGCCUAAUCAAGAAAAUCUUUUAGGGUUGAAAAAAUAUCCACCAUAUCUUCUAUAGAACAUGUAUAGACAUACAAUAAUAAGCCCUCCGUUAUUAAAUUCGGUGAGAGGUAUUGAAAUCCCCGCAUAAAUUUACGUAUACUAUAAAAGCUAUAUCCAUCAUUC